GCACAAGCGGUGGAGCAUGUGGUUCAAUUCGAAGCAACGCGCAGAACCUUACCAACCUUUGACAUGUCCCGUAUGAGCAACAGAGAUGUAGCUCUUCAGUUCGGCUGGCGGGAACACAGGUGCUGCAUGGCUGUCGUCAGCUCGUGUCGUGAGAUGUUGGGUUAAGUCCCGCAACGAGCGCAACCCUCGCCCUUAGUUGCCAUCAUUCAGUUGGGCACUCUAAGGGGACUGCCGGUGAUAAGCCGCGAGGAAGGUGGGGAUGACGUCAAGUCCUCAUGGCCCUUACAGGUUGGGCUACACACGUGCUACAAUGGCGGUGACAGUGGGACGCAAUGGAGCAAUCCUGCGCAAAUCUCAAAAAGCCGUCUCAGUUCGGAUUGCACUCUGCAACUCGAGUGCAUGAAGUUGGAAUCGCUAGUAAUCGCAGAUCAGCACGCUGCGGUGAAUACGUUCCCGGGC
RNAcentral lists this ribosomal RNA (459 nucleotides) under uncultured bacterium. RNAcentral's name for it is "bacterial SSU rRNA". It matches the Rfam family "Bacterial small subunit ribosomal RNA", at positions 923 to 1379 of the family's 1533-position model. The record is from RNAcentral.